Long non-coding RNA from Clupea harengus (Atlantic herring), 1193 nucleotides. The record is from Ensembl. Lineage: Eukaryota; Metazoa; Chordata; Actinopteri; Clupeiformes; Clupeidae.
CACACUCUGAUAUCAGGUUUUAUCCUAACGAAUCAAAUACACUCUGAUAUCAGGUUUUAUCCUAACUAAUCAAAUACACUCUGAUAUCAGGUUUUAUCCCAACUCAUCAAAUCCAUACUUCACAUACCCCAACAUAUUCAUGAACCUAACAUCAUCCCAAGCGAGGAAAUAUUUUUGUGUUAAAGACUAUUUUUCUCUGAAAAGAUAACCCAUUUAAAUAUGCAUUCUCCUUGUGGAAUCUCCCAUGUCAAGGAAGAUGUUCUAUCUCUAAGCAGAUCUGUGAUCUGUGAACUCUCUCAACUGUUAAGUGUUCUCUCUCUAAUACAAAUGAUACGUCAUGAUAUGUCAUUAUACAAUCUAUAAAAUGUGAAUGUUAUAUACCCCAUAUUCUUUCUGACCACAGUAGGUAUAUUGUGUGUGUGUCUGGAGUGAAUGUUAUAGUGAAAAUGAUUCAACCCUCUUAAGCUUUAAAACAUUCUGGUAUUGUGAGUGCAAUUAAGUUAUUUUUUUAUAAACUUUUGAAGAAAAUGUACUAAUCCAUACAGAUAGUUCAAAUGAUGUGCGAAAUAUUAUUCAACUAUCAAAGUUGUAGACAAGUCUUUAGACUUUACCUCCAAUAAACAUCUCCAGUAAGUACACACAUGUUUCCCAGACCCCCUUAUUGGAACCUAGUCUCAUUUGAAAAAGAGAUUCUUCUAUUCUUUGGUUUCCAUGCUGCCAUUGCACCCUUUAAACCCUUCGAUUCUCUAUGAGAUGCUGAGAUCUUUGGGGCUGCCCAAAGUGGACACUGUAUGUGAUUGGAACAUGAGCCCUGUGUGUUGCUCUGCCUAAACCAAUAUCUAGCUUCACAUCACAUCAGUGUGGAACAAAGGAACAAAGACAAGAUGAUGACACUGUGUUUUCCUGGUCAAACUUGUUUUCCGUGAUGUUAUUGUUAGCUUUUUUUUUAUCUGUAGUACCUUGCCACAAACUUUUUUGUAUCCUUUGUCAUGCCAUGAGGGGUGGGGAUGUGGGGGGUAUCAUUAAAUAGUUUUUUAUGUUUUUGUGUGUCAACAUCAUGACUUACAUAUAUACGUAUGUAAUAGUGGGAUAAUGUCUUCAUCGACAACUACAUCUAUAUUUUUCCUUCAUACAUGCACAUUUCAAAGCAAAUGCUGUACUGCACCACUUUUUUUUUGUUGGUAACAAGGCUG